GGCGUGCUUACACAUGCAGUCGAACGAUGAACCGCUUUCGGGCGGGGAUUAGUGGCGAACGGGUGAGUAACACGUGGGCAAUCUGCCCUGCACUCUGGGACAAGCCCUGGAAACGGGGUCUAAUACCGGAUAUGACCGUCUGCCGCAUGGUGGAUGGUGUAAAGCUCCGGCGGUGCAGGAUGAGCCCGCGGCCUAUCAGCUUGUUGGUGAGGUAGUGGCUCACCAAGGCGACGACGGGUAGCCGGCCUGAGAGGGCGACCGGCCACACUGGGACUGAGACACGGCCCAGACUCCUACGGGAGGCAGCAGUGGGGAAUAUUGCACAAUGGGCGAAAGCCUGAUGCAGCGACGCCGCGUGAGGGAUGACGGCCUUCGGGUUGUAAACCUCUUUCAGCAGGGAAGAAGCGAAAGUGACGGUACCUGCAGAAGAAGCGCCGGCUAACUACGUGCCAGCAGCCGCGGUAAUACGUAGGGCGCAAGCGUUGUCCGGAAUUAUUGGGCGUAAAGAGCUCGUAGGCGGCUUGUCACGUCGGUUGUGAAAGCCCGGGGCUUAACCCCGGGUCUGCAGUCGAUACGGGCAGGCUAGAGUUCGGUAGGGGAGAUCGGAAUUCCUGGUGUAGCGGUGAAAUGCGCAGAUAUCAGGAGGAACACCGGUGGCGAAGGCGGAUCUCUGGGCCGAUACUGACGCUGAGGAGCGAAAGCGUGGGGAGCGAACAGGAUUAGAUACCCUGGUAGUCCACGCCGUAAACGGUGGGCACUAGGUGUGGGCAACAUUCCACGUUGUCCGUGCCGCAGCUAA
RNAcentral lists this ribosomal RNA (799 nucleotides) under Streptomyces sp. 739. RNAcentral describes it as "bacterial SSU rRNA". It matches the Rfam family "Bacterial small subunit ribosomal RNA", at positions 41 to 855 of the family's 1533-position model. The record is from RNAcentral. Lineage: Bacteria; Bacillati; Actinomycetota; Actinomycetes; Kitasatosporales; Streptomycetaceae.